This 499-nucleotide ribosomal RNA is filed under the name uncultured bacterium. Its description in RNAcentral is "partial 16S ribosomal RNA". It matches the Rfam family "Bacterial small subunit ribosomal RNA", at positions 28 to 507 of the family's 1533-position model. The record is from RNAcentral.
GACGAACGCUGGCGGCGUGCUUAACACAUGCAAGUCGAACGGGCCCGCCCCUGUUUUUGGGGGUGGGUUGAGUGGCGAACGGGUGAGUAUCACGUGAGUAACCUGCCCCCUGCUCCUGGAUAACUGCUUGAAAGGGCGGCUAAUACGGGGUGUGCCGGCUGGUCCGCAUGGGCCUGGUCGGGAUAGUUUCAUCUUCGGGUGUUUCGGUGGGGGAUGGGCUCGCGGCCUAUCAGCUUGUUGGUGGGGUGAUGGCCCACCAAGGCGGUGACGGGUAGCCGGCGUGGGGGGGUGGGCGGCCACGCUGGGACUGAGACACGGCCCAGACUCCUGCGGGAGGCAGCGGUGGGGGGUAUUGCACGAUGGGCGGAAGCCUGAUGCAGCGACGUCGCGUGAGGGAUGGAGGCCUUCGGGUUGUGAACCUCUUUCUCCGGUGGUGAAGGCCCUGUCCGUUGCGGCGGGGUUGACGGUAGCCGGGUAUGAAGCGCCGGCUAACUACGUG